UGUAGUUGACUCGUGCGUG
RNAcentral lists this non-coding RNA (19 nucleotides) under Arabidopsis thaliana (thale cress). Lineage: Eukaryota; Viridiplantae; Streptophyta; Magnoliopsida; Brassicales; Brassicaceae. The record is from RNAcentral.